RNAcentral lists this ribosomal RNA (512 nucleotides) under uncultured bacterium. Its description in RNAcentral is "bacterial SSU rRNA". It matches the Rfam family "Bacterial small subunit ribosomal RNA", at positions 36 to 518 of the family's 1533-position model. The record is from RNAcentral.
CUGGCGGCGUGCCUAAUACAUGCAAGUCGAGCGCAGGAAGCUCACGGAACUCUUCGGAGGGAAGUGAAGGGAAUGAGCGGCGGACGGGUGAGUAACACGUAAGGAACCUGCCCUAAGGAUUGGGAUAACUCCGAGAAAUCGGAGCUAAUACCGAAUAGUUCUUCAGACCGCAUGGUCUGAUGAUGAAAGGCGCUUCGGCGUCACCUUGGGAUGGCCUUGCGGUGCAUUAGCUAGUUGGUGGGGUAAUGGCCCACCAAGGCGACGAUGCAUAGCCGACCUGAGAGGGUGAUCGGCCACACUGGGACUGAGACACGGCCCAGACUCCUACGGGAGGCAGCAGUAGGGAAUCUUCCACAAUGGACGAAAGUCUGAUGGAGCAACGCCGCGUGAGUGAUUGAAGGUUUUCGGAUCGUAAAACUCUGUUGUAAGGGAAGAACAAGUACGAGAGGCAAUGCUCGUACCUUGACGGUACCUUGCGAGAAAGCCACGGCUAACUACGUGCCAGCAGCAGC